This 433-nucleotide ribosomal RNA is filed under the name uncultured bacterium. RNAcentral describes it as "partial 16S ribosomal RNA". It matches the Rfam family "Bacterial small subunit ribosomal RNA", at positions 29 to 507 of the family's 1533-position model. The record is from RNAcentral.
AACGAACGCUGGCGGCAUGCCUAACACAUGCAAGUCGAACGAGACCUUCGGGUCUAGUGGCGCACGGGUGCGUAACGCGUGGGAACCUGCCCUUAGGUUCGGAAUAACUCCCCGAAAGGGGUGCUAAUACCGGAUAAUGUCUUCGGACCAAAGAUUUAUCGCCUUUGGAUGGGCCCGCGUUGGAUUAGCUAGUUGGUAGGGUAAAAGCCUACCACGGCGACGAUCCAUAGCUGGUCUGAGAGGAUGAUCAGCCACACUGGGACUGAGACACGGCCCAGACUCCUACGGGAGGCAGCAGUGGGGAAUAUUGGACAAUGGGCGAAAGUCUGAACCAGCAAUGACGGGUGAGUGAUGAAGGCCUUAGGGUUGUAAAGCUCUUUUACCCGGGAUGAUAAUGACAGUACCGGGAGAAUAAGCUCCGGCUAACUCCGUG